This 409-nucleotide long non-coding RNA is filed under the name Androctonus crassicauda. The record is from RNAcentral. Lineage: Eukaryota; Metazoa; Arthropoda; Arachnida; Scorpiones; Buthidae.
UGUAAAUGUGAUAAUUUUCUAUUAAAUAUAUAUAUACAGCAUAUAUAAACUUUCAAUUAUCCGGCAUAUUCAAAAAUCCGCCACUCCUCAGGUCCCGAGGUUGCCGGAUUUUUUGAAUGUUUACCUGUAUUAUAUCGAUGUUCAACUUUUUUUACUAUGCCAGUUACUUUUCUAUACUAAGCUGUUUGGCCAUCUACUCUCUUUUUUAUAUAGAUCAGGUUCUCUCAACCCGAUAUCUGAUUGUAUACAACUAUGCAGCUAAAUGCGCUCGCUCACUCGGGAGAACCCACUCUCUCAGUCCUAAGAACUUUAUAUAUUUAAAAAUUUAUUUAUCGCAAUAAAUAAAACAAGUAUAUUGGAAUAAAAUAUUUAUUUCUCUGUUUUGGAAAACCAAAGUUAAAAAAAAAAA